This 802-nucleotide ribosomal RNA is filed under the name Escherichia coli. RNAcentral's name for it is "partial 23S ribosomal RNA". It matches the Rfam family "Bacterial large subunit ribosomal RNA", at positions 2048 to 2843 of the family's 2925-position model. Lineage: Bacteria; Pseudomonadati; Pseudomonadota; Gammaproteobacteria; Enterobacterales; Enterobacteriaceae. The record is from RNAcentral.
CUCGCUGUGAAGAUGCAGUGUACCCGCGGCAAGACGGAAAGACCCCGUGAACCUUUACUAUAGCUUGACACUGAACAUUGAGCCUUGAUGUGUAGGAUAGGUGGGAGGCUUUGAAGUGUGGACGCCAGUCUGCAUGGAGCCGACCUUGAAAUACCACCCUUUAAUGUUUGAUGUUCUAACGUUGACCCGUAAUCCGGGUUGCGGACAGUGUCUGGUGGGUAGUUUGACUGGGGCGGUCUCCUCCUAAAGAGUAACGGAGGAGCACGAAGGUUGGCUAAUCCUGGUCGGACAUCAGGAGGUUAGUGCAAUGGCAUAAGCCAGCUUGACUGCGAGCGUGACGGCGCGAGCAGGUGCGAAAGCAGGUCAUAGUGAUCCGGUGGUUCUGAAUGGAAGGGCCAUCGCUCAACGGAUAAAAGGUACUCCGGGGAUAACAGGCUGAUACCGCCCAAGAGUUCAUAUCGACGGCGGUGUUUGGCACCUCGAUGUCGGCUCAUCACAUCCUGGGGCUGAAGUAGGUCCCAAGGGUAUGGCUGUUCGCCAUUUAAAGUGGUACGCGAGCUGGGUUUAGAACGUCGUGAGACAGUUCGGUCCCUAUCUGCCGUGGGCGCUGGAGAACUGAGGGGGGCUGCUCCUAGUACGAGAGGACCGGAGUGGACGCAUCACUGGUGUUCGGGUUGUCAUGCCAAUGGCACUGCCCGGUAGCUAAAUGCGGAAGAGAUAAGUGCUGAAAGCAUCUAAGCACGAAACUUGCCCCGAGAUGAGUUCUCCCUGACUCCUUGAGAGUCCUGAAGGAACGUUGAAG